RNA transcript from Elephantulus edwardii (Cape elephant shrew), 689 nucleotides. It is a transcript of the gene named heat shock 70 kDa protein 4-like, with no coding region annotated. The transcript has a single exon. The record is from RefSeq and is a predicted model, not a curated record. NCBI's taxonomy places the organism in Eukaryota, Metazoa, Chordata, Mammalia, Macroscelidea, Macroscelididae.
AUGAAAACAAAUUUACAAGGACCAAAACACAACCUAGAAUCUAUUCCACUUGAAUUUAAGAAUUGUAAUAGUUUUUCCUUGAAACUAGAAGAUACUGAAAAUUGGUUGCACGAGGAUGGUGAAGACCAGCCAAAGCAAGUUUAUGUGGAUAAAUUAGCUGAGUUGAAAAAUCUGGGUCAACCUAUUAAGGCAUGCUUCCAGGAAUCUGAAGAAAGACCAAAAUUAUUUGAAGAACUAGGGAAACAAAUCCAACAGUACAUGAAAGUAACCACUUCUUUCAAAAACAAGGAGGACCAGUAUGAGCAUUUGGAUGCUGCUGAUAUGAUGAAAGUGGAAAAAAGCACAAAUGAGGCUAUGGAGUGGAUGAACAACAAGUUAAAUCUGCAGAACAAACAGAGUCUGAGCAUGGAUCCAGUUAUCAAGGCAAAAGAGAUUGACUCUAAAGUUAAGGAGUUGAUAAAUGUCUGUAGUCCUAUUAUUUCAAAGCCCAAACCCAAAGUGGAACCUCUGAAGGAGGAGCAAAAAAAAUGCAGAGCAGAAUGGACCAGUGGAUGGACAAGGAGACAGUCCAGGGCCGCAGGCUGCGGAGCAGGGGGCAGACACAGCUGUGCCUUCAGAUGCCAACAAGAAGCUUCCUGAAAUGGACAUUGAUUGAUUCGAACACUUGUUUAUAUUAAAACAGACUAUUA